Molecule: ribosomal RNA, 253 nt
Filed under: uncultured bacterium
Lineage: Bacteria
Description: partial 16S ribosomal RNA
Rfam family: Bacterial small subunit ribosomal RNA
Source: RNAcentral
UACGAGUGCCCCGAGCGUUAUCCGGAAUUAUUGGGCGUAAAGGAUGUGUAGGUGGUCUUGUUAGUCUCUUGUUAAAUUCUUCGGCUUAACCGGGGGCAUGCAAGGGAAACGGCAAGACUAGAGGAUGCGAGGGGUGUACGGAACUCAUGGUGUAGGGGUGAAAUCUGUUGAUAUCAUGGGGAACACCAAAAGCGAAGGCAGUACACUGGAGCACUCCUGACACUGAAACAUGAAAGCGUGGGGAGCAAACAGG